Molecule: long non-coding RNA, 7008 nt
Filed under: Ananas comosus (pineapple)
Lineage: Eukaryota; Viridiplantae; Streptophyta; Magnoliopsida; Poales; Bromeliaceae
Description: long non-coding RNA (ACOM_LNC016697)
Source: RNAcentral
CGAAGUUACGCCCUUGCCUCGCGACGCCGCGCCGCUCUCGUGCAAACCUGUAACACUCCAAAACAACGUGGGGUGAGAACCAACUCCAUGGUUCCCAAUGGGUACGACCACCCAAGAGAAGAGCUCGACCAUCAGAUCCAAAUGAGGCAAACAACAUGUUAGUCCAAUAGAUAGAUAUGAAAUCAUGCAGCUAACAUUACCAUACUUUUGCCUCACAACAUGCAAUAUGUAAAUUAUGCAACUCAUAUAAGUAGAUUUAUUGUUUCUACUCUUUAUUCUUAUCCAUUCUUUACUUUUAGUCAUUCUUUACUUUACUGGCUAUUCUUUAGCAUUUGCCUUUCUUUAUUCUUUAUUACUUGCCAUUUUUUAGCAUUAACCUUUCCUUAUUCUUUAUUCUUUAUUCUUUAUUCUUUAUACUUUACUAAGAGUACUCACACCUUAGUAAUAUUAUACACAUUAGCCUUUCUUUCCUAGGAUUACUUUACCUUAGCUAACUAUGCCAUCCGACUCGGUUUUAAGUCAAUCAACUGCGUAUAGACCGCACUCUGUCCGGCUCGAGGCGAAGGAACUCUCACAUGCACCUCAGCCUUCAAUCACAAACCACAUCGCCCAACGGGUCGCCUAGAGCUGCGUACACCCGUGGUCAGGGAUCCCCCGGUGGGAGAGGGACAUACCGCAUAUGCCCGCAGCCGAGAUCCCCGAUAGGGAGAGGAACAUGCCACAUGCACCCUAGCGCUCAUGAUUCUUGCUCAAUAACAAGCCUCGAAGUUCUUCCGGUGGGAGAGGAACACGUCGCAUGUACCCGCGGCCAAGAACUAUCGAGCUUGUAUGCUGCACUAGCAGCCGCUGCACUAGCAGUAGGGAUUCCGGAAUCCACUUUACAUAACUCAAGGGUUAGUCUCACCCUAUGUUAUCGACCUAUCUAGGUCCAAGUCUUUACUCAACCUAAGUUAAUACAUUAGGUUCAAUGUCAUUAUCUUCUUAGCCUAGAUUCAUUAACACUAGGUUCAAUAUUCUUAAUCACCUAGGUUCAUUUAACUCUAGGUUUCAUGUCACUACAUUCACAACCUAGGUUUACUUGACUCUAGGUUUCGUGUCACUACAUUCACAACCUAGAUUUACUUGACUCUAGAUUUAAUGCCACUCAUGUUCUUGUUAUCCUAGUUGUCGACACCUAGGAAUCAUACUUGUCAUGCUACUCGUGAAUAACCUAUGUUAAAUGACACUAGGUUCAAUGCCACUCGUCAUCCUAAUUAUUUAUACUUAGAAUUCUUUACAUAUGACACUUGUCGAGUUCUUUACUUUACUUAGAGUUUAUUGACUCAAAUUCAACCUUUAUGUCGUACUAGCAUAUUCUCAUAUUAGGAAUCAUGCAUACAUUCUUUACUAACAUUUCAAUCAUGCACUUGUAUAUCAUCUAGCUCAUAUGUUUAUUCAACAUACAUCACAUACAUGUCUUUAGCGUUUAAUUCAUGCUUCAUCUAGCAUUUCUAUAACAUAUCAUCAUGCAUUGGUUUAGUGUUUUUAUAUUACGUCAAUAUGCAUUCUUUUAACAUUUCCUAUUAUGACAACAUGCAUUCCUUAGCAUACAUUUUAUACGUUCAUUACUUGGCACAUAUCACAUGCAUUACUUAGCAUCUAUCACAUGUAUUUAUUCAUUAACAACUUUAUCAUGCAUUCUUACUUAGCAUUUCUACUACCACCAUGCAUCAAUAGUGAAAUACAUUAUCCUUUGGCAUGAAAGCGACCUAAUCGCUUCGGUAAACACAACCCACCUUUUAACGCAUUCCAAUUGCUUGUAGUCACUUGCAAUCGGCCUCCCGCGGCAUCCGUGACCCGGUUUGGCCCGAACUCUUGUGCGACCAUCCGAACGGCCACCAAUCCGCGAUUCGUCUGUUCGGGAGUUUAUUCCCCGACACCACGAUACUUCUGAUCCGUUUUCAUGAUUUUUGGAGGCUUAUCCCACGUGCUGCGGCUAUCUGUACCAAAAAAGACUGUUUCGUUAAUAACUUCGCGUACACUAAUCGGAUUGUCGAACCGAGUGCACCAACGCGUUCGUUAUACCCCCAAUUAGGUUUGUAUAGGGUCAAUUGAGAUCAAAACCCCUCACAAGCAAAAGCCCUCUUUUUGGAGCGCUAAAUCACCAUUGUUGCAAUUAGCUUCAUACAAGCUAUUAAUCUCACAAUAAAUGAGAUCAACUACUCUUAGAGCACAAAUAAACAUCAUCUAGCUAAGUUCAAAGAGGUCUAAGCCAAGCUCUAGCCAUUCACCAUGAGAGACUCAAAGAGCUUACCUCAACUAGCUAGCAAGAAGAUGAAGAAGAUGAUGUUGGUCCUUCUCCAAGCUCCAAUCUCCACCUUCUCCUCCUAAAUCCACUCUUAGAGAGAAAGAGGGAGAGCUCCUAGAGAGAGAGGAGAGAGCAUCUCUCUCUACCAAUAUGUGUGUGUGUGUGUUGGAAUGAGGAGGAAGAAGGAGUAGAGUCAAAGCCCUUCAUAUAUGCCAACUUCCCCUUAAUUACCAACCUGCCACUGCUCAUUUUGGGCAUUUUUCGGGCUCAGGGACCGGUCCUUGGACUUGAGGGAUAUGUCCCCGUAGGGUCCAAAAUUCCAGCAUUUAGGAUUUAGCCAAAUUUUCAGCUUUUUCACCGUUUUCGCUCCGUUUUCGCUCUUUUUCGCUCGUUUGACAUCCGAUUCGUUUCAAAUCGAACCGAGACUCUCCAAACAUAUUUUCAUGCAUGUUUUCAUCAUCUUUUCAUCAACGCUAAUGCCGGAUUUAGUCCAUGGUACAACAUAGCCUUUCGGGUCCCGUUUUCGCGCCCUAUGCGCACGAAGCACCCGAAUGCUCCCGAACUUCGCCGGAAUGAUUCCAACGGCUUUCUAAGCUAAGAUACAUCGUAACUUCAUGAAUUAGAAGUUCGGUACAUUACAUUCUCCACCCCUUAAAAAGAGUUUCGUCCGCAAAACUCAAUCCACACCUCAAUUCAGCUCCUCGAGCAAUUGAGGGCACUAAUGCAGUUUUUCACUUCGGAAGGGCUUUACUCUCUUUGGAACUAUCCAAGAGGACUACUACGGAGCUCAUGAUACUAAACGCAUCCAACUUUGCAAGGCACAUCUCACAAAGUGCAUUACGGUCUCUGUCAUUCUAGGGGGUAGCGCAAGUCGAAACUUGACGACUCUACGCGCUCCAACACCGCUUGCCACUCGGCACACAAAGAACUCUUUCUUGCAUUCACUUUCCUUCAGGGAAUGCAUUUCAACUCGAUCACCGACAUUGCCUAAAAGCAAUAUCACCAGUGCAUUCCUCGUGCGUGCUCUAAUUCCGCACCGACUUUUUGCUCUAAUGUGAGAUGGCCCACUUCGGCACAUCCCCACUUUCCAUCCUCAAAUUUCACGUGGCUUGCUAUUAGCUUAAGGCCUCACCAAGAGCACCUCAUUACCUAAUACCAUAUGGCACGAUCAACAUCAUACCACUUUCGCAACGACUCACACGAACACGUCGUUCGUGAACUCAAGUCAAACUUCCCGAUAAUGCUACUCGCAAAAUCACUUUCCUCGGUUUUUCACAGGUGAGCCGAAGGCCGCCAGUACUACAUAGGCCUAUAGCCUAAACCUGCCUCAACAUACGCGCAGCGCCUCUCGCUCACAAGCGUAGACCCAAUCAUAAUUGGGGCGAAAUUCUCACUUGGGAAUUCGCACACACUCGAACCAGGAGCAACCAAGACCCCAAACCGCAUUAAAUUCUCCGGUUGGGUCACAAUUCGUACUCUCAGCAUACUAUCAAUCGUACUAUAUGCUCUAUCGAGCAAUACGUACCACUAUCGGCUCCUAUGCACCUAGUGCGAGCCACCAGCCCCACGAGUGAUCCAAGGAACGCUUUACACUUCGCAAUGCCCAAGUGCUACUGUUAACAAACUCACUCGGCUGAUCCAUAUUCGUACUCCGUGAGUACCUGUACUCGGGCGUCGUACGCUACGAUGGCAUUCUACACUAAGUCUCGGCUUUGGACAAUCUUGCCGUCGCACAUCGUCCACCAAGCACAUUCUCCUACCUCACAUUGAGGUACAGCUAGGCCCACAGGCCAAACUUGGGUAGUAACCAACCACUCACUCAACAGUGAUUCACUUUCACUGUUCGAUCUACCGAAACAACAUCUGGAAUACUCGAACUGCUCGAGUAUCCACCAGCGUCAUAACUCAACUCUCACAAUCUGCUACACACAUUGCUUUGCGAGUCGGUUCAUCAUUUCCAUCUCUACUACGAGUCUCAUCACCAGACCAUCACUAGCAAUUCGCUAGUGCUACAUAGCUCGCUACCUGCACCAGCAGGUAUUACGCUCUUACAACACGAGCAUGCCCGGGUAUCUAUAUUUACCCGUCCACUUGGUCCUUACUAUACUACUACAUAUAGUAGUAAGUGGCUAUAUGCUCAAUGCAUGCAAUGCACCACUUCAUAUCAUGCAGAAACACAUAACUGCAUUAACUAAACCAUACCUGCCACGACGUCGUCAGCAGCAGGUCCCUCAACCUAGGUUGCGUGUCUGUAGCUACUUUGCACCCGCCGCGGACCCCUCGGUUGCAUCACCGUCAUCGCUCGCUCUCCUGAUCGCGCAGCAGGUGGCACACCCGCCGGCUGUCCCGGAGAGGAAAAAGCCGUCGCCAACGCCAAGGCCCAGCUAUCACCUUGCGGACACUCAUCCCGCAUGUGGCCUGGCUGCCCACAAUGGAUACAUCUUCCAUCACGCAGCGCGCACUGCCGCGCCUGGUGGGUACCACCACAAAUCACACAACCUGGGGAGGAUCGAGUAGAGGACGCUCCGAGUGGUGCCUAGAACUUGACUGCCCACCCGAACUGUUCGACAGUGGCCUCACCCAUCCCAGCUCAUGCUUACGAGGUUCGCGCUCCUCAUGCAUGAAAGCCUCGCCAUGCUCUGCCCACAAGGCUCUGUCUAACACCUCCGCGAAGGUUGUGAGCUUAAGGAUUUGCACCUUCUCGUAAAUCUCCGGUCGAAGUCCACGCAGGAACCAAUCGGCCAUAUCCUUGUCAUCUCGUACCACAUCCGGGAUGCAUCCCACGAUACGGAAGAAUUCUCGUUCGUAUUCCCUAACCGAGCGGUCUCCUUGCCGCAGCUUCCUGAACUUGUCCUGAAGCUUUCUCUUUUCACUGUCGGGGAAGUACGUAGAAAAUAACAAUCCCUAAAACUCUUCCCAAGUCAUGGGAGGAAGACUAGGUGAUCGAUUCCGCCGAAUGCCUUUCCACCACACCUUCGCCGAUUGCUUCAAGCAAUGCACAGCUAGGGGCACCUUGUCUCGCUCCAAUGUGUACAGCUCCUCGAAGAGCGUCUCCAUGGAGUCAAUCCACAUAUCACAAUCCAGGGAUCGACAUUCUCUCCAUUGAAGGUAGGCGGAUCAAACUUUACGAAGGUCAUAAGGGCCGCCAAAGCCCGCUCUUUCUCCGCCUCCACCAAUGCACUUUCGGGAGUCGGAUCGCCCGACCCCGAUGGAACCAUCUCUGCCGCAAGCCCCGCCCGUCCUCGACGAGCCGCAACUGGCGCAGCCACUAGCUGCUCCACGGUCUCCUGGAGUCUCUUGAUCUGUUCUUCCUGGCUCAUGGCAGCCUCCUGCUGACGCUGCACUACGCUCACAAGCACUCCCAAUUGUUCGCGGAGCUCCGAGUCUCCUCUCACUCCGGAUUGCUCAGGGACAUCACUUGUCCUAUCCCGCGUCGAUCUAGCCGAAGAUCGCCUACGCAGUGCCAUCGUUCCCUGAAACAUGACAACUCAAUUAAUUCUCAACCUUCGAGGUCGAGUACGAAACAUUUAACAUUGACUCAAAUCGGGCAAAAGUCAUACAAGGGCGUCUAUUCUCAUCACUCGGUUUCAUGUUGUCGUACGCCCAACAUGAACACACUCGGUUGAGAGUACACCGCACCUUGGAUCUACCUCUAACAUCCACUAUAGAGGUUUACCACAUAACCCAAUCCAUUAUCCUUUUGCCACAAAUUACAAGUUCUCGUCUCUCACGAGCCUUAAUCUCCUAUAGUUUACUAUCCUAGGGUCUCCUAGGUCAAACUAAACCAUUUCUUAUUACUCAUUUUUAAGUUCUUUUUAGGUUCUUUUUAUGCUUUGAUACCAUCUUAUCUGUCACGCCCCCAGCCCGCCUUUUUGAUCGGAUUCGGGCACGCCAACAGACCGCCGAACGGACAGGAUUUUCCUUGUACCGCGGACAGAGUCUCCCCUGUACGUUCAAAGCAUCGCAAUCAAUACAAUAUACGAAGUUCCAACUAGGAACACAUUUCAACCAAAAAUUGCAUAAGAAAGUAUCAAAACAUAAAUCUACUUGCUAUUACAAGCAUUCAUCUCACAUAGUACAUUCUUACAUUCUUAGGUUACAUCACAUUUGAUUCCUUAAUUCUUAUUUUCAAAUACAAUCAAAUUAUUAUAAAUUUAUUACAAGUUUGAUACAUCUUGUUCUUUCAUUUUUCAUAUUCCUAAGCAGCCGACUCAGGGUGUUGCUAUCUGGUCUCUGUGGUAGGACGCUAUCUACGAAGCUACGCCCUUGCCUCGCGCCGCCGCGCCGCUCUCGUGCAAACCUGUAACACCCAAAAAUAACGUGGGGUGAAAACCAACUCCAUGAUUCCCAGUGGGUACGGCCACCUAAGGGAAGAGCUCGACCAUCAGGUCCAAAGGAGGCAAACAACAUGUUAGUCCAAUAGAUAGAUAUGAGAUCAUGUAGCUAACAUUACCAUGCUUUUGCAUCACAACAUGCAAUAUGUAAAUUAUGCAACUCAUAUAAGUAGAUUUAUUGCUUCUACUCUUUAUUCUUAUCUAUUUUUUACUUUUAGUUAUUCUUUACUUUACUAUCUAUACUCACACCUUAGUAAUAUUAUACACAUUAGCCUUUCUUUCCUAAGAUUAUUUUACCUUAACAAACUAUGCCAUCAGACUCGGUUUUGAGUCAAUCAACUGCGGAUAGUCCGCGCUCUGUACGGCUCGAGGUGAAGGAACUCUCAC